UAAGGUUCGAUUCGAGCGCAGCGAGAAAGCGUUGCCGCAGGCAACGACCCGAAGGGCGAAGCGCGCAGCGCUGAGUCAUCCUUCCCCCACCACCA
Molecule: small RNA, 95 nt
Filed under: Salmonella enterica subsp. enterica serovar Muenchen
Lineage: Bacteria; Pseudomonadati; Pseudomonadota; Gammaproteobacteria; Enterobacterales; Enterobacteriaceae
Also listed under: 12 other names
Description: partial RtT sRNA
Rfam family: RtT RNA
About the family: This family represents a bacterial cis-regulatory element known as RtT RNA.
Source: RNAcentral